GUAGGUGGCAAGCGUUGUCCGGAAUUAUUGGGCGUAAAGCGCGCGCAGGCGGUUCUUUAAGUCUGAUGUGAAAGCCCACGGCUCAACCGUGGAGGGUCAUUGGAAACUGGAGAACUUGAGUACAGAAGAGGAAAGCGGAAUUCCACGUGUAGCGGUGAAAUGCGUAGAGAUGUGGAGGAACACCAGUGGCGAAGGCGGCUUUCUGGUCUGUAACUGACGCUGAGGCGCGAAGGCGUGGGGAGCAAACAGGGAUUAGAUACCCUGGUAGUCCACGCCGUAAACGAUGAGUGCUAAGUGUUAGGGGGUUUCCGCCCCCCUUAGUGCUGCAGCUAACGCAUUAAGCACUCCGCCUGGGGAUACGGCCGCAAGGCUG
Molecule: ribosomal RNA, 373 nt
Filed under: uncultured organism
Description: partial 16S ribosomal RNA
Rfam family: Bacterial small subunit ribosomal RNA
Source: RNAcentral